AACGAACGCUGGCGGCAUGCCUAACACAUGCAAGUCGAACGAGACCUUCGGGUCUAGUGGCGCACGGGUGCGUAACGCGUGGGAACCUGCCCUUAGGUUCGGAAUAACUCCCCGAAAGGGGUGCUAAUACCGGAUAAUGUCUUCGGACCAAAGAUUUAUCGCCUUUGGAUGGGCCCGCGUUGGAUUAGCUAGUUGGUAGGGUAAAAGCCUACCAAGGCGACGAUCCAUAGCUGGUCUGAGAGGAUGAUCAGCUACACUGGGACUGAGACACGGCCCAGACUCCUACGGGAGGUAGCAGUGGGGAAUAUUGGACAAUGGGCGAAAGCCUGAUCCAGCAAUGCCGCGUGAGUGAUGAAGGCCUUAGGGUUGUAAAGCUCUUUUACCCGGGAUGAUAAUGACAGUACCGGGAGAAUAAGCUCCGGCUAACUCCGUG
This 433-nucleotide ribosomal RNA is filed under the name uncultured bacterium. Its description in RNAcentral is "partial 16S ribosomal RNA". It matches the Rfam family "Bacterial small subunit ribosomal RNA", at positions 29 to 507 of the family's 1533-position model. The record is from RNAcentral.